RNAcentral lists this ribosomal RNA (1013 nucleotides) under Staphylococcus aureus. RNAcentral's name for it is "partial 23S ribosomal RNA". It matches the Rfam family "Bacterial large subunit ribosomal RNA", at positions 230 to 1246 of the family's 2925-position model. The record is from RNAcentral. Lineage: Bacteria; Bacillati; Bacillota; Bacilli; Caryophanales; Staphylococcaceae.
UUCGAUUCCCUUAGUAGCGGCGAGCGAAACGGGAAGAGCCCAAACCAACAAGCUUGCUUGUUGGGGUUGUAGGACACUCUAUACGGAGUUACAAAGGACGACAUUAGACGAAUCAUCUGGAAAGAUGAAUCAAAGAAGGUAAUAAUCCUGUAGUCGAAAAUGUUGUCUCUCUUGAGUGGAUCCUGAGUACGACGGAGCACGUGAAAUUCCGUCGGAAUCUGGGAGGACCAUCUCCUAAGGCUAAAUACUCUCUAGUGACCGAUAGUGAACCAGUACCGUGAGGGAAAGGUGAAAAGCACCCCGGAAGGGGAGUGAAAUAGAACCUGAAACCGUGUGCUUACAAGUAGUCAGAGCCCGUUAAUGGGUGAUGGCGUGCCUUUUGUAGAAUGAACCGGCGAGUUACGAUUUGAUGCAAGGUUAAGCAGUAAAUGUGGAGCCGUAGCGAAAGCGAGUCUGAAUAGGGCGUUUAGUAUUUGGUCGUAGACCCGAAACCAGGUGAUCUACCCUUGGUCAGGUUGAAGUUCAGGUAACACUGAAUGGAGGACCGAACCGACUUACGUUGAAAAGUGAGCGGAUGAACUGAGGGUAGCGGAGAAAUUCCAAUCGAACCUGGAGAUAGCUGGUUCUCUCCGAAAUAGCUUUAGGGCUAGCCUCAAGUGAUGAUUAUUGGAGGUAGAGCACUGUUUGGACGAGGGGCCCCUCUCGGGUUACCGAAUUCAGACAAACUCCGAAUGCCAAUUAAUUUAACUUGGGAGUCAGAACAUGGGUGAUAAGGUCCGUGUUCGAAAGGGAAACAGCCCAGACCACCAGCUAAGGUCCCAAAAUAUAUGUUAAGUGGAAAAGGAUGUGGCGUUGCCCAGACAACUAGGAUGUUGGCUUAGAAGCAGCCAUCAUUUAAAGAGUGCGUAAUAGCUCACUAGUCGAGUGACACUGCGCCGAAAAUGUACCGGGGCUAAACAUAUUACCGAAGCUGUGGAUUGUCCUUUGGACAAUGGUAGGAGAGCGUUCUAAGG